GUGUAAUACCCUCCUAUCUUGGUGUCAAUCUAGUAAUUGCUGAAAAGGGGCUUUUCAAUCUGAUCCUUUUCUUCAUCGCUAACUUGUUUCUUCUCCUCAGGUGAAUCUUCACACAUAUGGCUAAAUUGUUGUUGCAAUUUUAAGGUUCUGUUGGCUUCAUUUAAUUGUGUUCUUUUGUGCCUUCUUCACGUGCUGUUGAGAACUGGGAUAAGAACACAAAAAGGCACAUAGUUUUGCCAUCCUCUGCUUCUACAUCUCUCUUUGUUAGUGUAAAUCUAAAAAAUGUAAAUCAAUUGAGGUAGCAACAUCGUUAAUCUUCGAUUUUGUUACUGUGUUCUUCUUCUUCACUCAGUUUAUUGGAAGUUGUACGGUUUGUUGUUGCUGCCGGCGUUGUAUCGGAAGUUGUACGGUUUGUUGUUGCUGCCGGCGUUGUAUCGGAAGUUGUAGGGUUUGCUGUUGCUGCCGGCGUUGUAUCGGAAGUUGUACGAUUUGUUGUUGCUGCCGGCGUUGUUAAACUUCGAUGAGAAAAAGAUUGUCGAAGAAGCUUGUACCAAUUUUGUACCAAACUUGCUGUGUGAAUAUCUUUACAAUAUAUCUGAAGACUUCACUGAAUUCUAUACCAACUGUCAGGUAGUUGGCUCGGCCGUGGAAGCAAGCAAACUCUUACUGUAUGAGGCAACAACUACUGUCAUAGGAAGUGUUUCCAUCUGUUGGGUAUCAUUCCUGUUUAUAAAAUUUAACCUCCAUAUUAGUUAGUUGUUUCUGUACUGUUCUUUUUUCCUUCAUUGAGUUAGUACUGAGAUGAAAUGUAUUUGAACAGAGCAAGCUUAUUACAGAAUUUUAUCGUAUUUGAUUUUCACUCAUUAUAAGUUUCAAAAAUGUUUGGACAGCAUGAAGCCACAUAUAUAUAGCCAUGUUCCUAUAUUUUCUUGAAAUUAGCACUUCGUUUCUUGAAGUUAGUAGGUAGUCGAGCGUUUUUGUCGUUCCUUCCUAAUAUUAGGAUAAAAUCUGUCUGUUUUAUACAUGUACCCAAUGACCGUCCAUUUGGGAUAUUGAGUUGAAAAAGUGUGCGUUUUGACUUCGGACUCCUCAAUUGACAAGUAAAUGUUUCAACUUUUAAGUAUACACAUCCAAAUACCUUAACUCACCUCCGCUAGAUCAAUUGAACACACCAACUUAAAAAAUGAUCAUCUAGAUCUCUCUAAAACGUUAGUGUGUCACAUGAACAUUAGGUGUUUGAGCGACACGGCGUAGACGAGUUGGAGUGCGUAAUUUGCAGUUGAGACUAAAUUAAGAUUUCUAAACGGGCAUGCUCAUAGUUUCCCUUCUAAAUCUGGAUAAUCAUACUACUUAUUGAUAGUGAUUGUUUCGUUUAAGUAUGCUUUAUCAUGGUUGCUUUGGCAAUUUUGUCUUGGCUUUCAUUGUUUUCUUUUUUGAAUCGCUUUGUAAUGCUUUUGCUUGAGCUGAGGGUCUAUCACAAACCACCUCUCUACCUUGUAGGACACACCACCUUCCCUAGGCCCCACUUGUGAGAUUACACUGGGUAUGUUGUUGUUUCUGUAGUCUGGACAAGAGAGAGGAAAAGUAGAAGGGUCAAAUGUGGGAUUUAACUUGGGUCGUGGGAGGUCUACAGGGACUAUUGUUAGACCUUCCUCUGGGGGGCAAUUGGUGCUUCACCAUUUGAAAAUUCUGUUGCUGGAAAUUCAAGCGUCUCGAGGUGAGGCUGAGACGGAUAGUGUCUAUUUCGGAAAACCAGUUCGGAUUUAUGCCCGGCCGCUCGACGAC
This is a long non-coding RNA of Capsicum annuum, 1785 nucleotides long. RefSeq lists it as uncharacterized. The record is from RefSeq and is a predicted model, not a curated record. The transcript is spliced from 3 exons. NCBI's taxonomy places the organism in Eukaryota, Viridiplantae, Streptophyta, Magnoliopsida, Solanales, Solanaceae.